AUACGUAGGGGGCGAGCGUUGUCCGGAAUGAUUGGGCGUAAAGGGCGCGUAGGCGGCCCGGUAAGUCUGGAGUGAAAGUCCUGCUUUCAAGGUGGGAAUUGCUUUGGAUACUGCCGCGCUUGAGUGCAGGAGAGGUUAUCGGAAUUCCCGGUGUAGCGGUGAAAUGCGUAGAGAUCGGGAGGAACACCAGUGGCGAAGGCGGGUAACUGGACUGCAACUGACGCUGAGGCGCGAAAGUGUGGGGAGCAAACAGGAUUAGAUACCCUGGUAGUCCACACUGUAAACGAUGAAUACUAGGUGUGCGGGGACUGACCCCCUGCGUGCCGGCGUUAACACAAUAAGCAUUCCGCCUGGGGAGUACGGCCGCAAGGUUGAAACUCAAAGGAAUUGACGGGG
Molecule: ribosomal RNA, 396 nt
Filed under: uncultured bacterium
Lineage: Bacteria
Description: partial 16S ribosomal RNA
Rfam family: Bacterial small subunit ribosomal RNA
Source: RNAcentral